This 462-nucleotide ribosomal RNA is filed under the name uncultured bacterium. Its description in RNAcentral is "partial 16S ribosomal RNA". It matches the Rfam family "Bacterial small subunit ribosomal RNA", at positions 29 to 507 of the family's 1533-position model. The record is from RNAcentral.
AUGAACGCUGACAGAAUGCUUAACCCAUGCAAGUCUUUGGUGAAGCUGUGCUUGCACCGCCUAGCCAAGGCGGACGGGUGAGUAACGCGUAAGGAACUUGCCCUGCAGUCAGGGAUAACAGACGGAAACGACUGAUAAGACCUGGUAAAGUCAGGCGGACUCAUGUCCAGCCUGAUGAAAAGAGAUGCUGCAGGAGAGCCUUGCGUCCUAUUAGCUUGUUGGUGGGGUAACGGCCCACCAAGGCAAUGAUAGGUAGCCGGCCUGAGAGGGUGGACGGCCACAAGGGGACUGAGAUACGGCCCUUACUCCUACGGGAGGCAGCAGUGGGGAAUAUUGGACAAUGGGGGCAACCCUGAUCCAGCAAUUCUGUGUGCACGAUGAAGGUUUUCGGAUUGUAAAGUGCUUUCAGCAGGGAAGAAAAAAAUGACGGUACCUGCAGAAGAAGCGACGGCUAAAUACGUG